RNAcentral lists this ribosomal RNA (333 nucleotides) under uncultured eukaryote. RNAcentral's name for it is "partial 18S ribosomal RNA". It matches the Rfam family "Eukaryotic small subunit ribosomal RNA", at positions 1470 to 1796 of the family's 1831-position model. The record is from RNAcentral.
CCCUUAGAUGUCCGGGGCUGCACGCGCGCUACACUGAGGGAAUCAGCGUGCUAGAAAACCUUGUUUGACAUGGCUAGGUAACCCGUUGAAAAUCUUUCGUGAUUGGGAUCGGGACUUGCAAAUGUGUCCCUUGAACGAGGAAUUCCCAGUAAGUGCGGGUCAUAAGCUCGCGCUGAUUACGUCCCUGCCCUUUGUACACACCGCCCGUCGCUGCUACCGAUUGAAUGGUUUAGUGAGAAUUUUGGACUGGAACUCCCUUGCUCAGCAAUGGGCGAGGGGGAGUCCGGGAAGCUAUUCUAACUGUAUCAUUUAGAGGAAGUAAAAGUCGUAACA